RNAcentral lists this ribosomal RNA (465 nucleotides) under uncultured bacterium. RNAcentral's name for it is "partial 16S ribosomal RNA". It matches the Rfam family "Bacterial small subunit ribosomal RNA", at positions 28 to 507 of the family's 1533-position model. The record is from RNAcentral.
GACGAACGCUGGCGGCGUGCUUAACACAUGCAAGUCGAACGGAAAGGCCCUGCUUGCAGGGUACUCGAGUGGCGAACGGGUGAGUAACACGUGGGUGAUCUGCCCUGCACUUCGGGAUAAGCCUGGGAAACUGGGUCUAAUACCGGAUAGGAGCCAUUUUUAGUGUGAUGGUUGGAAAGUUUUUUCGGUGUAGGAUGAGCUCGCGGCCUAUCAGCUUGUUGGUGGGGUAAUGGCCUACCAAGGCGGCGACGGGUAGCCGGCCUGAGAGGGUGGACGGCCACAUUGGGGCUGGGGUACGGCCCAGACUCCUACGGGAGGCAGCAGGGGGGAAUAUUGCACAAUGGGCGCAAGCCUGAUGCAGCGAAGCCGCGUGGGGGAUGACGGCCUUCGGGUUGUAAACUCCUUUCGCUAGGGACGAAGCUUUUUGUGACGGUACCUAGAUAAGAAGCACCGGCUAACUACGUG